This 483-nucleotide ribosomal RNA is filed under the name uncultured bacterium. RNAcentral's name for it is "partial 16S ribosomal RNA". It matches the Rfam family "Bacterial small subunit ribosomal RNA", at positions 30 to 507 of the family's 1533-position model. The record is from RNAcentral.
UUGAACGCUGGCGGCAGGCCUAACACAUGCAAGUCGCGCGGAUGAAGGGAGCUUGCUCCUGGAUUCAGCGGCGGACGGGUGAGUAAUGCCUAGGAAUCUGCCUGGUAGUGGGGGAUAACGUCCGGAAACGGGCGCUAAUACCGCAUACGUCCUGAGGGAGAAAGUGGGGGAUCUUCGGACCUCACGCUAUCAGAUGAGCCUAGGUCGGAUUAGCUAGUUGGUGGGGUAAAGGCCUACCAAGGCGACGAUCCGUAACUGGUCUGAGAGGAUGAUCAGUCACACUGGAACUGAGACACGGUCCAGACUCCUACGGGAGGCAGCAGUGGGGAAUAUUGGACAAAGGGCGAAAGCCUGAUCCAGCCAUGCCGCGUGUGUGAAGAAGGUCUUCGGAUUGUAAAGCACUUUAAGUUGGGAGGAAGGGCAGUAAGUUAAUACCUUGCUGUUUUGACGUUACCAACAGAAUAAGCACCGGCUAACUUCGUG